This 409-nucleotide long non-coding RNA is filed under the name Mytilus galloprovincialis (Mediterranean mussel). Lineage: Eukaryota; Metazoa; Mollusca; Bivalvia; Mytilida; Mytilidae. The record is from RNAcentral.
GUGGAAAGACCUUCAAUUGUUCUCUGAACAAUUGGUUUUUAAUUAGGUCUUUCCACUUUUCUGUGGAAAGACCUAUUGUUUUUCUUCUGAUUAUUUUUUUUUUUCUUCCGCCAAAUUUUGUUCUUGCGAUAAACAUUUGUUUCGCAAUAUGUCGCUUAGAUAUUUGGUAUAUGAUAUCGAACAGUUUAUGCGCUUUUGAAAUUAACCCUGUGUAACCGAAUACUUUUCUUUGUAGGAGUUAUCUCCCCAAACACUGUUUUCCUUGUGUCCACAACUCCUUCGCAACCGUAAAAGAUUAUGACAAAUUUAUUUUAUAAAAUUGCUCGUUAUAUCCUUCGCAUGAUUUGUCCAAUUUCGACCGAAGCAAUAUGAACGCUCCAUAUGAGAGUUAUUUCCCUUUUUGUAUUUG